RNAcentral lists this ribosomal RNA (443 nucleotides) under uncultured bacterium. Its description in RNAcentral is "SSU rRNA". It matches the Rfam family "Bacterial small subunit ribosomal RNA", at positions 26 to 518 of the family's 1533-position model. The record is from RNAcentral.
AGAACGAACGCUGGCGGCACGCCUAACACAUGCAAGUCGAGCGCCCAGCAAUGGGAGCGGCGGACGGGUGAGGAACACGUGGGAAUAUGCCUUUCGGUUCGGCACAACUGCGGGAAACUGCAGCUAAUUCCGGAUACGCCCUUACGGGGAAAGAUUUAUCGCCGAAAGAUUAGCCCGCGUCUGAUUAGCUAGUUGGUGAGGUAAUGGCUCACCAAGGCUUCGAUCAGUAGCUGGUUUGAGAGAACGACCAGCCACACUGGGACUGAGACACGGCCCAGACUCCUACGGGAGGCAGCAGUGGGGAAUCUUGGACAAUGGAGGAAACUCUGAUCCAGCGAUGCCGCGUGAGUGAUGAAGGCCUUCGGGUUGUAAAACUCUUUUACCAGGGAAGAUAAUGGCUGUACCUGGAGAUAAGCUCCGGCUAACUUCGUGCCAGCAGCCGC